Molecule: ribosomal RNA, 495 nt
Filed under: uncultured bacterium
Lineage: Bacteria
Description: bacterial SSU rRNA
Rfam family: Bacterial small subunit ribosomal RNA
Source: RNAcentral
GAUGAACGCUAGCGGGAGGCCUAACACAUGCAAGCCGAGCGGUAUUGUUUCUUCGGAAAUGAGAGAGCGGCGUACGGUGCGGAACACGUGUGCAACCUACCUUUAUCUGGAGGAUAGCCUUUCGAAAGGAAGAUUAAUACUCCAUAAUAUAUUGAUUGGCAUCAGUUGAUAUUGAAAGCUCCGGCGGAUAAAGAUGGGCACGCGCAAGAUUAGCUAGUUGGUGAGGUAACGGCUCACCAAGGCGAUGAUCUUUAGGGGGCCUGAGAGGGUGAUCCCCCACACUGGUACUGAGACACGGACCAGACUCCUACGGGAGGCAGCAGUGAGGAAUAUUGGUCAAUGGGUGCAAGCCUGAACCAGCCAUCCCGCGUGAAGGACGACUGCCCUAUGGGUUGUAAACUUCUUUUGUAUAGGGAUAAACCUACUCUCGUGAGAGUAGCUGAAGGUACUAUACGAAUAAGCACCGGCUAACUCCGUGCCAGCAGCCGCGGUAAU